Long non-coding RNA from Sinocyclocheilus grahami, 316 nucleotides. RefSeq lists it as uncharacterized. Lineage: Eukaryota; Metazoa; Chordata; Actinopteri; Cypriniformes; Cyprinidae. The record is from RefSeq and is a predicted model, not a curated record. The transcript is spliced from 3 exons.
AUAUGACGCUGAUGGAGGCCUCUCUGAAAAUACUUAUGGUUGGAAGUCGCUGGGGCAAGAGUUGAGAAUCAAUGAUGUGACUACUGAUAAAACCACUUUUCAGCAUGGAAACCGUGCUUUAGCUACAAAGGACAUGAGGAAAUCACAGGACCGACCGUUGGCUCACUCUGAGGAGUCUCGUCUGGCCAAUCUUCUGCGGAGAGCGUCACGGGAAGAUGACCGGGAACGCAGACUGGCCACUAUGAAACAAAUGAGGGAGUUCAUUGUGCACUCUGAAAAUAAAGUGGUCCUAGUGAAACAGUUGGAUUCCAUUUUG